Molecule: ribosomal RNA, 156 nt
Filed under: Uromyces pisi
Lineage: Eukaryota; Fungi; Basidiomycota; Pucciniomycetes; Pucciniales; Pucciniaceae
Description: 5.8S ribosomal RNA
Rfam family: 5.8S ribosomal RNA
About the family: 5.8S ribosomal RNA (5.8S rRNA) is a component of the large subunit of the eukaryotic ribosome. It is transcribed by RNA polymerase I as part of the 45S precursor that also contains 18S and 28S rRNA.
Source: RNAcentral
AACUUUUAACAAUGGAUCUCUUGGCUCUCAUAUCGAUGAAGAACACAGUGAAAUGUGAUAAGUAAUGUGAAUUGCAGAAUUCAGUGAAUCAUUGAAUCUUUGAACGCACCUUGCACCUUUUGGUAUUCCAAAAGGUAUGCCUGUUUGAGUGUCAUG